GGGGUUGUAGCUCAGUGGUAGUGUACUCACCUGGCAUGCGAGAGGCACUGGGUUCAAUCCUCAGCACCA
RNAcentral lists this transfer RNA (69 nucleotides) under Ictidomys tridecemlineatus (thirteen-lined ground squirrel). RNAcentral describes it as "Spermophilus tridecemlineatus (thirteen-lined ground squirrel) tRNA". It matches the Rfam family "tRNA". From Rfam's summary of the family: Transfer RNA (tRNA) molecules are approximately 80 nucleotides in length. Their secondary structure includes four short double-helical elements and three loops (D, anti-codon, and T loops). Further hydrogen bonds mediate the characteristic L-shaped molecular structure. tRNAs have two regions of fundamental functional importance: the anti-codon, which is responsible for specific mRNA codon recognition, and the 3' end, to which the tRNAs corresponding amino acid is attached (by aminoacyl-tRNA synthetases). tRNAs cope with the degeneracy of the genetic code in two manners: having more than one tRNA (with a specific anti-codon) for a particular amino acid; and 'wobble' base-pairing, i.e. permitting non-standard base-pairing at the 3rd anti-codon position. RNAcentral also lists the same sequence under 1 other name. The record is from Rfam by way of RNAcentral. Lineage: Eukaryota; Metazoa; Chordata; Mammalia; Rodentia; Sciuridae.